CUGAACGCCUCUAAGUCAGAAUCCAUGCCAGAACGCGGUGAUACCACCCGCACGUAUAGAUGGACAAGAAUAGGCUUCGGCUUAGCGUCUUAGCAGGCGAUUCUUCCACGGCGCUCGAAGCGCGUCGUGGUAUUUCGCGUAUUGUAAUUUCAACACGAGCGGGGUCAAAUCCUUUGCAGACGACUUAGCUGUGCGAAACGGUCCUGUAAGCAGUAGAGUAGCCUUGUUGUUACGAUCUGCUGAGGGUAAGCCGUCCUUCGCCUCGAUUUCCCCAAUGGGUUCUCCGGAUUUCUGGAGACUUGUAGGGGUUGUGGGUUUUUUCGAUGUGUCGUCUCCGGACGGGCGGUGCAGGGUAGUCGAGUUAGACUUGGUGGAAUUCGAUUCCGUCGAGUAUGGCUGGCACGAUCGUGUGCGGUUGUGUGUUGGACGGUGCAGGGUAGGCUGCUUGGACAUGGUCGGUUCGAGGAUCGAUUCGAGGGCCGGCCUGUCGAUGAUGUGUGAUGUAUGCGGUCUAGGGUAGGCUGGUUUGUCUUGGUCCAAUUUGAUGUCGGCUCCCGUGCAGGCUAGAGUGAGGGGGGUCCAGGGUAGGUACAGGGUAGGCAGCUUAGAUUUGGUCGAUCUGGAGGUCGAUUCUCCGGCUGGUGGAUCUGACCCUGUCGAAACGAGAUGCGAGCGGUGUAGGGUAGGCUAGUUUCGUCCUCGCCAGGUUGCGAUUUGGACGAGAUAUGUGGUCUAGGGUAGGCUCUAGGGUAAGUAGAAUUCGAGUUUCGUCGCCGACAGUUUUCUGUGGGUGUAUGGUAGGUACAGGGUAGGCAAAACUCUCUCCGGCCAGUACUUGUCUGGUGGUCGUGAGUCGAUUUUUUUGUUUUGCCAUACUAUUGAAUUUUGCGGAAAUUCAAAAGUGGCUCGGGAGUCCCGCCUGGCGUGCGUCCGACUCGAACAUCGUCGGUGUACAUAUGAGAGGGAGUAAUCCGGCCCGGCCGGGGCCCAUCGCGAGCUGCCGGGUAGGUAAAAGUAAAAAAGUUGUUAAGAGGCGCGGUGUCGGCGUGCUUGUAUUUGCGGGAGAGAAUUAUCUGGAGGUGCUGGGUAGCCGGGAAGACUUGGACGGAUCUGGCCCGGGAAUGGGUCUGGGCCUGGAUUCUGGUGUGGUGUAGGAUAGGCGUAGAUAGAUGAGUGGUCUAGGGUAGAUACAGGGUAGCCAGAAGUCUGGUAUAUAGUGUGGGGGGUGUAGGGGUAGGUCUGGACACCGUUUUCCACUUCGCCCUUCCCUUUACUCGAGGGAGGACGAUCUUGGCUGGGAUGGAGGUGUAGGGUAGGCUUAAUUUACGAUUACAUGAUCUGUGUCACUCUAGGGUAGGUGAAAAUCCCAUAUAUAUCUGAUCACAUUUGGAGAAGAGGUGGUUUGGCUGGUGAGAUGGACAAAAGUGCAAUGUAGAAUUAUAUGUGAUUUUGCAAAAGUGGGUGUGAAAUUGGGAAAUCGGUUUCCCCGCACAGAUGAGAGCACGUUUGAGGUGCCAUGAGAUGCACCUCUCCGAGACGACCUCAACGGUACCACCGAUGUGUUGGUCCGGCUCCUGUGCGGCCGUCCAGGGCGGGAUAUGUAGAGAAUGUGGUGGUGUAGGGUAGGUGGCCAGGUCCAGGGUAGGUUCUCCAAAUCCGUCAAUCCGGCUUGAAUCGAAGGACAGGUCUAGGGUAGGCCAGAGUCGGGUCUAGGGUAGGCAGCUCUCACCCUCGAAGUGGUCUACCCGGUAGUCAACUUCAAUCGCCUCUCACGGCCGCCACGGACCUCGCAUGACGACGGGACCACCACCAUCGGAUUUGCCUUGGUCGAAAUAGUCGGUAUAUGCACUUUUGCAAAAAUGCGUGCAAAAUGGUUUUGUGGUUUGGUGGUCGUGAGUCGAUUUUUUUGUUUUCCCAUACAAAUGAAUUUUGCGGAAAAUAAAAAGUGGCCCACGAAGCAGUUCUGGCGUGCGGCCCACUAAAACGGUCUCGGAGGGUAUAUGAGAAGGGAGCAAAUCCGGCCGAGCCUGAAAGGGUGAGGACAAACCGGGCGAGCAACCUCUCAGUAUCAGAUCUUGCAGACUUCCACUGCGUGUCCCUCUGUACAGCUUUGCAGGCUCCGGCCUCGGCAGCGGGGGGUUCAUAGUGGUCGUCGACCUCCACGAAACUGCACGCUCCGGCGUGACAGCGUACUGGGGAUGCCUGUGUAGAUGCAGUCCGGGCUUGCCUGGACCGCUAGCAGAUGGGCUCUGUGGAUGACUGGCCGCUGGCUAGACCUGAAACCUGAGCAACGGGAGGUAACCUCUCGCCGCGGACACCGGAAUGGUAGAAGCGGCGUGCUGCGUCCUCCUCUUGGGGCCCCUAAGCCACACCUCCCAUAGCGGGUUCGGUGCGGCGGACGGACGCCCUGGGGAAUUUAGAGGGGGAAAGCGGAUUGCCCUAGCGGUGUUGUUGGCCCUGCCGACCUCACUGCGAAAGGCGCGACUUCACCGUCGCCACCCAGUAACUUGUCUCUCCGGCGCUUCACGGCGCUGGUGGCCAACCCCGGCACACGAUAGUUACCUGGUUGAUUCUGCCAGUAGUCAUAUGCUUGUCUC
RNAcentral lists this unclassified non-coding RNA (2597 nucleotides) under Fusarium oxysporum f. sp. dianthi. Its description in RNAcentral is "partial contains 28S ribosomal RNA, 28S-18S ribosomal RNA intergenic spacer, and 18S ribosomal RNA". The stretch from base 1 to 271 matches the Rfam family "Eukaryotic large subunit ribosomal RNA", at positions 3120 to 3401 of the family's 3401-position model. The record is from RNAcentral. Lineage: Eukaryota; Fungi; Ascomycota; Sordariomycetes; Hypocreales; Nectriaceae.